Molecule: non-coding RNA, 445 nt
Organism: Microcebus murinus (gray mouse lemur)
Lineage: Eukaryota; Metazoa; Chordata; Mammalia; Primates; Cheirogaleidae
Source: RefSeq, a predicted model, not a curated record
CACCAUAGCCUAGCCAAAUUGACACAUAAAAUUAACCAUCACAGUCAGCAAAGGUGAAUUUUCAGUGGCAGCUUGAUGUUUUAAAAUUUUUAUGAUUUUUUUUUAGUUUUAUUUAUAUAAAAUUUCUGAUAUCAUAGGAGUCAUUGGCUAGAACAAAGGUAAAACUAAAGAGGGGAAUCGCAGAUUCUAGAUAUUAUUUAGAAGGAGAAAGCAUGAAUCAUUGCUGAGCUCCAUUCUCUGUGAUGAACUGCGGGCAAUAUUUGUACAAAGGCCAAGGCAUGGAUGGGCUGCAGAGAUAGCCUUUUUAGUCUGGACUUUGCUCCAUUCCUCCUGGGCAAGAAGCACGAUCACGUGUAAAGAAACAAAGAAAACAUCUGGCUGCCACAGCUGCCUUUGAUGUUUAUUUUGUAGUUGGCAGAUUUCGAAUACAGAGAUUAAAAUGCUU